RNAcentral lists this long non-coding RNA (1022 nucleotides) under Ursus maritimus (polar bear). RNAcentral describes it as "lncRNA (ENSUMAG00000023435.1)". Lineage: Eukaryota; Metazoa; Chordata; Mammalia; Carnivora; Ursidae. The record is from RNAcentral.
CACACAUGCGCGUGUGCGUGCAUGUGUGCACACGUGUGUGUGCACACACACUCCAGACCAACACUCGGCAGUCACCUGCUGGCUGUCUUGGGAGGUCACACUGCCAGGCGGGUGCAGGGGAAACGAACCACUGAAGAGAAGCCCGAACGCAAGGCUGGGCUGCUGGGGCUUCGUGCCCAACACAGCGGGCUCCUCGGACUUUAGAGUUCAAGAGCGAGACUUAGGCAAGCCGCUCCCUGGACGCAGACCCCUUCAAGGAGCGGGGCUCCAGGUAGGUCUCCGUGCCUUGGACUGUCAGGCUCAGUGUGUCGGCCUAUUGGCUCAUCUCACUUCUGCCGGGUUUGAGGAGCUGGUCUCCAUAUCCUGGCUUCCAGUGUCACGGGGACACCUGGGAGGAGACUCUGAGCCCCUGCAUGCAGAAACACGAAAAGCGAAGCCUCCAGAAAAGCAUUCUGUCCUUGCCAGGCCUGCAGGUCUUGUGCGAGCCUCUGCUCUGAACUGCGUGCUGGAGGCGGUUGGUGUGUGUGUGUGUGGGGGGGUGGUGUUUGUGCGGUUGCGGUGUGGGGACGCUUCUCUCUCUGCCGUCACAGAGCUACUUUAUUCAGGUCCCUGCUGUGUUGUCGCCUCCUCAGAGACCCGCCCUGACCCUCCAACUCCAGGAGCCCCUCUCACCUUAUUUUAUCUUAAAAUAUACAAAGAUUCUAUCUCCGUAAUUGACAUCUGCAGCAUCAGAAUGAACACGUCCUGACGUCAGGGAGUCCGCUUGUCUUGUUCCUGGGUGGGUCCCCACAAUCGACAGCAGGACCUGGACAGGCCUGGCCUACCCGAGAGGGCUCAGAGGGCCCAGGGCCCCUGGUGGCAUGUGGGAGGAUCCUGGGGAUCAGUCAUCCCGCCUGUAAAAUGCGAAUUUGCAUUACUGCCCUGCCCUCCUCACGGGCAAUCUGCAGAUUGGUCUGAAGAGAGAACGUACGAGAUCUGGCACACUGGCUUCACAGGUAAGGGCUGGGGGUGGCAGCGUAAUC